Molecule: ribosomal RNA, 748 nt
Filed under: uncultured marine eukaryote
Lineage: Eukaryota
Description: SSU rRNA
Rfam family: Eukaryotic small subunit ribosomal RNA
Source: RNAcentral
CAAAUUGCCCAAUCUCGACACGGGGAGGUAGUGACGAAAAAUAACAAUACAGGACUCUAACGAGGCCCUGUAAUUGGAAUGAGCACAGUCUAAAGGUUUUAACGAGUAUCCAUUGGAGGGCAAGUCUGGUGCCAGCAGCCGCGGUAAUUCCAGCUCCAACAGUGUAUGCUAAAGUUGUUGCGGUUGAAAAGCUCGUAGUUGGAUCUUGGCUGGGCGCCGCCGGUCCGUCGCAAGGCGUGUUACUGGCGGCGCUCUCCCCCGAUUUUCGGUUCGCCUUUCGGUGCUCUUGACUGAGUGUCGUCGGUGGCCGAUGAGAUUACUUUGAAAAAAUUAGAGUGUUCAAAGCAGGCUCUUCGCCUGAAUAGUGUUGCAUGGAAUAAUGGAAUAGGACCUCGGUUCUAUUUUGUUGGUUUUCGGAACGUUGAGGUAAUGAUUAAGAGGGACAGACGGGGGCGUCCGUACUCUGCCGUUAGAGGUGAAAUUCUUGGAUCGGCGGAAGACGAACUACUGCGAAAGCAUUCGCCAAGAAUGUUUUCUUUAAUCAAGAACGAUAGUCGGAGGUUCGAAGACGAUCAGAUACCGUCCUAGUUUCGACUGUAAACUAUGCCAGCUAACGAUCAGACAGCGUUCUCUACGACUUGUCUGGCAGUUUCCGGGAAACCAAAGCUUUUGGGUUCCGGGGGAAGUAUGGUUGCAAAGCUGAAACUUAAAGGAAUUGACGGAAGGGCACCACCAGGAGUGGAGCCUG